Orcinus orca (killer whale) is the source of this 2411-nucleotide long non-coding RNA. RefSeq lists it as uncharacterized. The record is from RefSeq and is a predicted model, not a curated record. Lineage: Eukaryota; Metazoa; Chordata; Mammalia; Artiodactyla; Delphinidae. The transcript has 4 exons.
GAAGCCAUUGAUCAGUUUUGGAUCUCACAAACUGACUCUUUUGAGACAGUAGUCAUGAAGUUUGGGUCGUUGGAAAGAAAAGGAUUUUCUAAAUUCCUUUAUUUCUUCUUUAACAUAUUGAGAAGCUGGCCAAAAAAUACUAGAGAGUCUUAAAGGAGAGGCGAGUGGGACAGGUUAGGAAGAAGGCAGGACAUGCCUGGCUUCUCAGCUCCUAUUGGAUUCUGGGUAGAAGAAGGUAGAAAGAAAACCAACCACAAAUGAAUAUGAAAGAAAAAAGGGAGAAGCCGGUCCCUGGGUUUCCAAAUGAAAUGCUACCAAGCCCCCAUGCAACCCACAGUCCUGAGCAGAAAAAUAAAGUACACGGGCCUCUCACUGCUGUGGCCUCUCCCGUUGCGGAGCACAGGCUCCGGACGCGCAGGCUCAGAGGUCAUGGCUCACGGACCUAGCCGCUCCGCGGCAUGUGGGAUCUUCCCGGACCGGGGCAUGAACCCGUGUCCCCUGCAUCGGCAGGCAGACUCUCAACCACUGCGCCACCAGGGAAACCCCAUGGAGAAACAGAAUCGUAGAAGUUAAAUGACCUGCCUGGGAUCUAGCAGCUCGUUAGCAGCACAGCCAGAAUUAGAAUUUCUAGUUUGGGGUUCAUUUCACUAUGCCACUUGUCUGGUAGAACAAUAUCUAAUAGAUGUUUGGAGUUACCAACAAUCUGUAGGUUUAGAAUCUCAAAAAUAAAAAUAUUAAAUUCUGGAGAAAGAGAUAUAAGCAGAAGUUGUCUGUAUAGCUCUUGAGAUUUUCCUUUAAAGGGAAAGAUUAUGCCUUUAAAAAAUAUAUUUUCCCUUUUCACUGUUGGAAUACAGAUAUAGUAGCUAGAGCUAGAGCAGCCAUGUUAGAUGCAUGAAAUGAAAAUAUAUUUGAGAAUGGCAGAGCAAAAAGAAAGAUGUACCCAAGGUCCCCAAAUUAUCAAUCUGUACAUAUCAGUCCUGGAAUGCCGAGGAAAUCUUUUACAUAAGAAGGAGAUAAAUGUCUGGCCAAUUUAGGGUUCCUUUAUAUAGCAGCUUAAACUCAUAACAAGUACAAGAUCUGGUACUGGUUAAGUGGCAUGUUGUCCUAAAAGAAUCCUUGAAUUAUAUCAUUGAAUCCUUGAAUUAUAUCAGCACUGGGUGAUGGGUGGCAAUGAUAUAGAUAUUAAUGGUUAGAAAUCUGAUGAUCCUUCAUUACACCAUUGCAAACUAUAUGUUAAAAUUGUUAUCUGUGUUAUGUUGGAAGUUAGACCAGGUGUCAACAUACCUUGUAGCUCUAGAGCUAUCUAUAUGAGUUGUACUGUCCCUAGGGGACAUUUUGGAAAUUUGUGGAGCUGUUUUGGUUGUUACAGUAACUAGAGGAGGGAAUUGCAUGGUCAGGGCCAGGGAUGAUAAAUGUACCAUAAAGUAUAGGAAAGUCCCACACAACAAGAAUUGAUCCACAUCCCAUGACUUCCAAACAUUUUGCUAGACAUUUCUGUAGGUGAAAAACUUGCUUAUAAUUAUCCAAGCCUAGAACCUAAUUCUAUUUCACAUCCAACACAAAGUUUUUUAGGUUUAUUUUGCACUGUUUUAACACACUUUCUUUCAGAAAUGCAAAAGCUAUAUAAAUUGAGGGAAGCUUUUAUGUUGUUUUAUUCCAAAUUUUACUAAGAGUUGUAUGUAUACCAUUUUAGAACAUCACCCAAAAUAACGCUGCCUCAACAUAAACCAGGAUCCUGGUAUGAAGCUGUAUUUGUGGCUAUUAUAUUCACAGCAAUUCUAUGCGUAGGUGCAAGCAUCUCACUACUUCAUUAUGUCUUCGGUAUGGUUGUACCUGAACAAAUACUAUGAAUCAUUUCAGAAAUUAUGUGCAAAAAUUUCAGAUUAUGCCCUCAAAAGAAAGAAGCAUGCAUUCCUCUACCCUUUUCUCUUUUCCUGCUAGUUGAAGGCAGAGAUGAUGGCUGGAGCUGGAGCAGACACAUUAGGUCAGGGGAUGGAAGCCACAGUUGAAGAUGGGAGAGCAAUUAAACGGAGGGAACCUGUGUCCCUGACAUUGUGCAGCUGCCAUAUACCAAUGGUCCCAUCAUAUAAACCCUAUGUGAAAGAGUAAACUUUUAUCUAGUUUGAGCCUCUGUGUUUCAGAAUUUCUUUUUUUAUGAUAGCUUAGUUAGAUUCCUAUCUAAUAUAGAUGUGAAGAGCAAAAUAUAAAUAAAAUCUAGCAUAAGUCUCAGAACUUCUUGUUAAAUAUCCAAUCCUAAAAAAACAUUUUCAAUGAUAAAUGAAAAAAGAAGCAGCAUGAAUACAAAACCAACAAUUUGAAAAUGACAUUUUAUGUAUUUUAAAAAAAUCUUUCACUGUAACCAAGACUGAACUGGCAUAAAACUGGCAUAAAAAACUUGAGGAUAGAAUGAA